UAGUAUGUAAGUCGCAUAAAUAAAUUUAUUAAAAUAUAGUCGCUAUAGUUGACUCCGCAAAGAGUUCAUUGUCAAUCCAGACGAUACUGAUCAGCCUAGUUCUAGUGGAGUCACCACUUAACGGUAAUGCUGUAUACUUGUAUGCGACUGAAAAGCAACAGCGGCAUUGCCUAUCUGAAAUGGGGAAGCUGCUUUUUACUAAUAGUUGCUGUUACCAGAAAUACGUAGGUUAAUACUGAUGAGGGUAGGUUGCACAAAGGCCAUAAAGCUGGCGUUCGCCAAUCCAUUUCAUAAUUAACAUUCAAAAAUAAAUUGUUUAAUUUAUUUAAUAAACAGAAUGAAGACACAUACUCUUCGCAAAGUAUCAUAUUUAAACAGUGGGGCGGAGAUGGCAAAUUAAGAACUGCAGCCUCAAUGAAACCGGUUUCAAAUUUCGACUUGCUCUUUUCUGGUCAACAUUUUAGGUAUACUUACUUAGUGUAAUUUAACACUGGAAUAACAAAAAUUA
This is a non-coding RNA of Bactrocera oleae (olive fruit fly), 508 nucleotides long. NCBI's taxonomy places the organism in Eukaryota, Metazoa, Arthropoda, Insecta, Diptera, Tephritidae. The record is from RefSeq and is a predicted model, not a curated record.